GAGGGUGUAGCUCAGUGGUAGAGCAUGUGUUUAGCAUGUGCAAGGCCCUGGUUUCAAUACCCAGCACCAUUA
RNAcentral lists this transfer RNA (72 nucleotides) under Ictidomys tridecemlineatus (thirteen-lined ground squirrel). RNAcentral's name for it is "Spermophilus tridecemlineatus (thirteen-lined ground squirrel) tRNA". It matches the Rfam family "tRNA". From Rfam's summary of the family: Transfer RNA (tRNA) molecules are approximately 80 nucleotides in length. Their secondary structure includes four short double-helical elements and three loops (D, anti-codon, and T loops). Further hydrogen bonds mediate the characteristic L-shaped molecular structure. tRNAs have two regions of fundamental functional importance: the anti-codon, which is responsible for specific mRNA codon recognition, and the 3' end, to which the tRNAs corresponding amino acid is attached (by aminoacyl-tRNA synthetases). tRNAs cope with the degeneracy of the genetic code in two manners: having more than one tRNA (with a specific anti-codon) for a particular amino acid; and 'wobble' base-pairing, i.e. permitting non-standard base-pairing at the 3rd anti-codon position. Lineage: Eukaryota; Metazoa; Chordata; Mammalia; Rodentia; Sciuridae. The record is from Rfam by way of RNAcentral.